AGGAUGAACGCUGGCGGCGGUGCCUAAUACAUGCAAGUGAAACGGGUAUCUUCGGAUACCAGUCGCGGACGGGUGAGUAAUACAUAGGCAACCUGCCUUUAUGAGGGGGAUAACCGAGGGAAACUUUGGCUAAUACCGCAUGAAGACUCUAAGGCAUCUUAGAGGGAUAAAAGUUGGGAAACAACGCAUGAAGAUGGGCUUAUGGCGCAUUAGCUAGUUGGUGAGAUAGAAGCCCACCAAGGUAAUGAUGCGUAGCCGACCUGAGAGGGUGAACGGCCACAUUGGGACUGAGACACGGCCCAAACUCCUACGGGAGGCAGCAGUAGGGAAUUUUCGGCAAUGGGGGGAACCCUGACCGAGCAACGCCGCGUGAAAAGGAAGAAGGUUUUCGGAUUGUAAACUUCUGUUAUAAGGGAAGAACGGAUUGGAUAGGGAAUGAUCUGAUAGUGACGGUACCUUAUUAGAAAGCCACGGCUAACUACGUGCCAGCAGCCGC
RNAcentral lists this ribosomal RNA (496 nucleotides) under uncultured bacterium. RNAcentral describes it as "bacterial SSU rRNA". It matches the Rfam family "Bacterial small subunit ribosomal RNA", at positions 26 to 518 of the family's 1533-position model. The record is from RNAcentral.